RNAcentral lists this ribosomal RNA (517 nucleotides) under uncultured bacterium. RNAcentral describes it as "bacterial LSU rRNA". It matches the Rfam family "Bacterial large subunit ribosomal RNA", at positions 80 to 547 of the family's 2925-position model. The record is from RNAcentral.
GGGGAGCUGACAACCGAGCUGUGAUCCAGGGAUGUCCGAAAGUGGGGAAACCCGGCGUGGAGUCAUGUCCAGUCACCUCCGCCUGAAUAUAGUAGGGCGGUUGGAGGGAACGUGGGGAAGUGAAACAUCUCAGUACCCACAGGAAGAGAAAACAACAGUGAUUCCGGGAGUAGUGGCGAGCGAAACCGGAAGAGGCCAAACCGAUACUGCGUGAUAGGCGCCAGCCGUUGCAGUACCGGGGUUGAGGGACCUCUUGGACCGUUCUGGCGAGCGGUCAGACAGUAAGAAAUCGAUGUGGUAGGCGAAGGCCAUGCGAAAGGGCCGGCAUAGAGGGUAACGCCCCCGUAGCCGAAACUGCAUCGACUGUCGAGAGGGAUCCCAAGUAGCUCGGGGCCCGAGAAAUCCCGAGUGAAUCUGGCAGGACCACCUGCUAAGCCUAAAUACUCUCUGGUGACCGAUAGCGGACAAGUACCGUGAGGGAAAGGUGAAAAGUACCCCGGGAGGGGAGUGAAAUAGU